UACGAAGGGGGCUAGCGUUGCUCGGAAUCAUUGGGCGUAAAGCGCACGUAGGUGGCUUGUUAAGUCGGGUGUGAAAUCCCUGGGCUCAACCCAGGAAGUGCACUCGAAACUGGCGAGCUUGAGUACUGAAGAGGGUCGCGGAAUUCCCGGCGUAGAGGUGAAAUUCGUAGAUAUUCGCAAGAACACCAGUGGCGAAGGCGGCUCACUGGCCCGGUACUGACGCUGAGGUGCGAAAGCGUGGGGAGCAAACAGG
RNAcentral lists this ribosomal RNA (253 nucleotides) under uncultured bacterium. RNAcentral describes it as "partial 16S ribosomal RNA". It matches the Rfam family "Bacterial small subunit ribosomal RNA", at positions 524 to 776 of the family's 1533-position model. The record is from RNAcentral.